UGCGUAGGCGGCUUUGCAAGUCAGAUGUGAAAUCUAUGGGCUCAACCCAUAAACUGCAUUUGAAACUGUAGAGCUUGAGUGAAGUAGAGGCAGGCGGAAUUCCCCGUGUAGCGGUGAAAUGCGUAGAGAUGGGGAGGAACACCAGUGGCGAAGGCGGCCUGCUGGGUCUUUAACUGACGCUGGAGGCAACGAAAGCGUGGUAGCAAACA
This 209-nucleotide ribosomal RNA is filed under the name uncultured bacterium. RNAcentral's name for it is "partial 16S ribosomal RNA". It matches the Rfam family "Bacterial small subunit ribosomal RNA", at positions 568 to 774 of the family's 1533-position model. The record is from RNAcentral.